Molecule: non-coding RNA, 36 nt
Filed under: Platyophrya macrostoma
Lineage: Eukaryota; Ciliophora; Colpodea; Cyrtolophosidida; Platyophryidae
Source: RNAcentral
AUGUUUUUCUCUUUUCUUUUUUCUUUUUUUUUUUCG